Molecule: unclassified non-coding RNA, 140 nt
Filed under: uncultured fungus
Lineage: Eukaryota; Fungi
Description: sequence contains ITS1
Source: RNAcentral
UUUGCUUUAAUUUGUUUCGGUUGUUUAGACACAUGAGCCUUUGUGUUUAACGUAAUGAUAUGCAUACGCAUGGUGUGGAGAGACAGCCCAAAAAGGACUAGAACUCGGUAAUGAUCCUUCCGCAGGUUCACCUACGGAAA